Molecule: transfer RNA, 77 nt
Filed under: Chloroflexota bacterium
Lineage: Bacteria; Bacillati; Chloroflexota
Description: Chloroflexi bacterium tRNA-Val
Rfam family: tRNA
About the family: Transfer RNA (tRNA) molecules are approximately 80 nucleotides in length.
Source: RNAcentral
GGGCGAUUGGCUCAGCUGGUUAGAGCGCUGCGUUCACAUCGCAGAGGUCGCUGGUUCGAAUCCAGCAUCGCCCACCG